UACGUAGGGUGCGAGCGUUGUCCGGAAUUAUUGGGCGUAAAGAGCUCGUAGGCGGUCUGUCGCGUCGAUCGUGAAAACUUGGGGCUUAACCCUGAGCUUGCGGUCGAUACGGGCAUGACUGGAGUUCGGCAGGGGAGACUGGAAUUCCUGGUGUAGCGGUGAAAUGCGUUGAUAUCGAUAGGAACUCCGGUGGCGAAGGCGGCAUACUGGACCACAUCUGACGCUGAGGCGCGAAAGCCAGGGGAGCGAACGGG
This 254-nucleotide ribosomal RNA is filed under the name uncultured bacterium. RNAcentral describes it as "partial 16S ribosomal RNA". It matches the Rfam family "Bacterial small subunit ribosomal RNA", at positions 524 to 776 of the family's 1533-position model. The record is from RNAcentral.